RNAcentral lists this long non-coding RNA (718 nucleotides) under Homo sapiens (human). RNAcentral's name for it is "HSALNT0191470". The record is from RNAcentral. Lineage: Eukaryota; Metazoa; Chordata; Mammalia; Primates; Hominidae.
GCUCCCUCUGCAUCACAGAGGAGACAAGAACUACAUUUCCACAAAUUCCCAUUAGGAGGCACUUCGGUUGAGCUAUGAUUCCUUAUGGAUUUCACUGGCCCUGUCUUGUCUGCUCAUUUACCUGCUUAUGUCUUGUUACUUACAGCAGGACAGAGUCUGGAUUUAACUACUCUGCCCCUACCAGAUUACCUGAGGAGAGAAGAUGAUCAAAAUGGAAUGGAAAGGAUCAAAUAAAGAAGAGAGAUAUUUAAUCUAUAUAUUUAAUUAUAUAUACUUAUUUAUGAUAUUGUUCAUUGUUUUAUUUUACCACUUCACUAUUCUGCAAAAAAAAACAUAAAUGCAAAAUUUUUAAUAAUAUGUUGCCAACCUAUAAGACAAGUGAAAUAAAUGAGAAAAAACUUAAAGUAUAAUGGUAGAAAUCUAUGUUUGUAAAUUUCAACAAUCAAUAAGAAGUAGAAUUAUUCAAGCAACAGAACUCCUUGUGAUUACAUGUUUCAAAAAUAAAAAGAUGAUUUUGUUCCAAUAAAUAUUCUAAAUUACUACAUAUAUUUGUCAAUAUAUUGAUGAGUUAAUAUUAAGAUUAGUAUAGAUUUUAAAUUUCUACAUUUUUUCUCUUAACUAUAAACAAAGUUCAUUAUCUUAUGAUGAAUCUUUGUAUUUACUUUCAUUCAACACUGAAAAUUCUAAAAUAAAAAAAGAUGAGAAAAUCUUAUUGAAG